UACGUAGGGUGCGAGCGUUGUCCGGAAUUAUUGGGCGUAAAGAGCUUGUAGGCGGUUUGUCGCGUCUGCUGUGAAAAUCCGGGGCUCAACCCCGGACUUGCAGUGGGUACGGGCAGACUAGAGUGUGGUAGGGGAGACUGGAAUUCCUGGUGUAGCGGUGAAAUGCGCAGAUAUCAGGAGGAACACCGAUGGCGAAGGCAGGUCUCUGGGCCACUACUGACGCUGAGAGGCGAAAGCAUGGGGAGCGAACAGG
This 253-nucleotide ribosomal RNA is filed under the name uncultured bacterium. RNAcentral describes it as "partial 16S ribosomal RNA". It matches the Rfam family "Bacterial small subunit ribosomal RNA", at positions 524 to 776 of the family's 1533-position model. The record is from RNAcentral.